CUGGCUCAGGAUGAACGCUGGCGGCGUGCUUAACACAUGCAAGUCGAACGAAGCACUUAAGAAGAUUUCUUCGGAUUGAAUCUUUGUGACUUAGUGGCGGACGGGUGAGUAACGCGUGGGCAACCUGCCUCUGUCUGGGGGAUAACAGUUAGAAAUGACUGCUAAUACCGCAUAAGCGCACAUUACCGCAUGGUAGAGUGUGAAAAACGUUAGUGGACAGAGAUGGACCCGCGUUAGAUUAGCCAGUUGGUGGGGUAACGGCCUACCAAAGCGACGAUCUAUAGCCGGCCUGAGAGGGCGACCGGCCACAUUGGGACUGAGACACGGCCCAAACUCCUACGGGAGGCAGCAGUGGGGAAUAUUGCACAAUGGGGGAAACCCUGAUGCAAGCGACGCCGCGUGAGUGAAGAAGUAUUUCGGUAUGUAAAGCUCUAUCAGCAGGGAAGAAAAUGACGGUACCUGACUAAGAAGCCCCGGCUAACUACGUGCCAGCAGCCGC
RNAcentral lists this ribosomal RNA (499 nucleotides) under uncultured bacterium. RNAcentral's name for it is "bacterial SSU rRNA". It matches the Rfam family "Bacterial small subunit ribosomal RNA", at positions 19 to 518 of the family's 1533-position model. The record is from RNAcentral.